Molecule: long non-coding RNA, 1568 nt
Filed under: Triticum aestivum (bread wheat)
Lineage: Eukaryota; Viridiplantae; Streptophyta; Magnoliopsida; Poales; Poaceae
Description: long non-coding RNA (TAES_LNC007848)
Source: RNAcentral
UCAUUUGCUCGAAGCAUUACUUGUCUUUACAUGCGAGGACACUGGUUGAAUGAGAAAUACACAUUUUGUUGAUUGUCGUCCUUGUAUAAAUAUAUAUUAGUAAAAAUAAAGACAUAAAAUCAAUAAUCCCACACACUUCGACAUAAUACACGUUGCCCAUGCCACUGGAGAAGAUAGUGUGGCUUGUCAAUAUCAGCAUAUAGUACUAAUAUUCCGUGGUUAGUCCCUGCAAAAGGAAAGAGCAAUCACAUAAGUAUUUCAUGCUGCAUUUGCAAACUAAAGCCACAAAAAUACAUAACAAAAUCACAAGGUACUCACCCAAAAGCUUAGUUUUUUCUAUAUUGGCCUCACUUUGUCAUCAAAUGCUAACAGUAACAUCCCAUUUUAGUUUCAUAAUUCUUCCUAUAUGUCUAGUAAUCUGAAAAAAAAGUGUCUACAAAAUCACAUCAGAUUGUUAGUACAAAUCAUAUCAAUUUUUUACUGGAUAUGCACAUACUCCCUCCAUCCUAUAAUAUAAGAUGUAUAUUGGUUGUAGUAACAUCUUAUAUUAGGGACGGAGGGAGUAGAAAUUAUUUCUCCAUUUGAUUCAUCUCCACGCUCCAUAAUUGGCAUCCAUCUACAAGCACAAGCCAAUUGUGGCAAGAAGGUCUUUGUAAUGCAGCGUGCACCAAGUGUUUUAGAAGAUCUACGAUGAUGCACGCCUACGAAUUCAGGCCCGAGUUUAUGGGUUGUACAUUCGGAGAAAGGGGUGUUUGUUGGCCAAUGUGCCUCUUCUUUCAUGCUUGCGCCCAGUUUGCCCCCUACGGGGGGAUGUUUGCGUCCACCCACACGUGUACAUUAUGUUCUUCUCAUCUUUAAUGCAACGAGGCUAAAGUGCUUCUUGCCGUUUCACCAAAAGAGCCAAUUUCAAGUUUUUUAAAUACAGAAAUAAUUCGCAUAGACAUUAGGAUCAUGAAAAUGAUAAUGAAAAGAGCCAAUUUCAAGAUUUCUAAAUACAGAAACACUUCACAUUAACUGACUAAUGCCUUUUGGUACUCCUAAUCAUUUUAACACAAACUAUGUAUGUCAUUGGCAGCACAAAAUAAUUGAGAGCCUAUAUAUAUAAUCAAUUACAUUUCGGAGAAAUAUAAUAAUGUAAGUUACCUCAAGUGAGAAAUGUACUUCCCCUCAACUGCCCUGCUCUUUCCUCUAUCUUCCUCUAAGUUAGCCUCUGGAAAUUGUUAACAACACUGCAUAUCAGAAAAUUUGUUAGACAAGGGCAUAAGUUGUGAAUACUCCUGCAUAGACAAAAUAACUGAGAGAAGGAGGCUAGAGAGGAUAUGUCAAUAUACCCUAGGAUGUUGAAAGCUCUUUAUUUCAGAGUCACGGCAAAGAAGAUGGAACAUACGGCUAAAAUCUAACAUCUUUCUUAGUUGUACAAACCUAUGAAAAUGAGGAAGUAGUGCAAAUGCAAAGAAUGCCGGAAAAAACACAACCACGAGACAAGCAAUUUAUUAACUACCUUGGUAAUGAUAGAACAUUACAGAGUUCAUGAGCUCUAUACCAUCAGGUGGCGACAUGGUCCUGCA